UUUUUUUUUUUUUUUUUGAGACAGGGUUUCUCUACAUAGCCCUGGCUGCCCUGGAACUUGCUCUGUAGAUCAGGCUAUCCUCUAACUCAGAGAUGUAUCUGCUUCUGCCUUCUGAGUUCUAGGAUCAAAGGUGUCCCCACAACUGUCUAGCUUCUACUUGAUUUUAAAAGAGGAUCUCUCGUUGAUCCUGGUUGGCUGGAAAGCCCCAGGGAUCUUCCUGUCUCUCUUCCCAGUGCUGGGAUUACAGGCUUGGGCCACUGUUCUGACUUUUAUGUGUGUUUUGGGGAUUUGAACCAAGACCCUCAUUAUAGAAUGGCAAGCACUCUGGGCUGCUGAGAUGGCUCAGUGGUUAAGAGCACUGACUGUUCUUCCGAAGGUCCUGAGUUCAAAUCCUAGCAACCACAUGGUGGCUUACAACCACCCUUAAUGAGAUCUGAUGCCCUCAUCUGGUGUGUCUGAAGUCAUCUACAGUGUAUUUAUGAUAAUAAAGACUGAAGAAGUAGAGUUGACCAGAGCAAGCAGGGCCAACCAGAGCGAGCAGAGGUCCUAAAAACUCAAUUCCCAACAACCACAUGAAGGCUCACAACUAUCUGUACAGCUAGUUGUACUCACAUGCAUAAAAUAAAUAAAUAAAUCUUAAAAAAAAAAAAAAAGAAUGGCAAGCACUCUUUCUACUGAACAGUCUUCCAAGCCCUUGUAAUAUUUUUAAUAUUAAUAGAUCUAAAUUAACCUUUAGGUCUUUACAAUAUUUAAAUAAUAAUAAUUCUUCUUCCUCUUCCUCCUCCUCCUCUUCUUCCUCUUCUUCUUCUUAUUUAUUUUAUGUAUAGGAGUACUUUGUAGCUGUCUUCAGACACACUAGAAGAGGGCAUCGGAUCCAAUUACAGAUGAUUGUGAGCCACCAUGUGGUUGCUAGGAAUUGAAUUUGGGACCUCUAGGAGAGCAGUCAGUGCCUUUAACCACUGAGCCAUCUCUCCAGCCCUUAAAUUCUUUUUUGUUGUUGUUGUUGUUUUUGUUUUUUGAGACAGGGUUUCUCUGUGUAGCCCUGGCUGUCCUGGAACUCACUUUGUAGACCAGGCUGGCCUCGAACUUAGAAAUCCACCUACUUCUGCCUCCCAAAUGCUGGGAUUAAAGGCAUGCGCCACCACCGCCCUGCUUUAAAUUCUUAUUAAUCAAGGAUAUAAUAACCUUUUAAAAACAUACCAAAAUGCUUUAUGUUUAUUUCAAGCAGUUAUGUACUGAAACUAAACUUCGUCAAUCACAGGAUUGCUUGAGAUAAGCAGUUCUUCAGAGAGAAGAGUGAAAUGAUAGGAAGUAGAGGAGGCCACAGGCAGAAUAGAUUGGUUUCCACAGAGUCCUACUAGAGCAGGGAGAAAGAAGUAGAAAUACUGAAAGAAGUAGAAGUGUAGCUUUUGAAGGUCCUUAGUCUUGGGGACUGGGUAGAUUGCUCAGUUUUUAAGAGUAUCUGCUGCUCUUCCAGAAGACCCAGACUCAAUUCCUAGCACCCACAUGGCAGCUGACAACCAUCUGUAACUCUAGCUCCAAGACAUACAAUGCCCUCUUCUGGCUUCUGCAGCUAUUUGACAUGCACAUGGUACACAGACAGACACACAUGAAGGCAAAACACUCAUACACAUAAAAUACAAAUGAAUAAAAUGACUUAUUCUUCACAGCUACGGGCUUUAAGAAAUUGAACUACUAGGAGGACUAGGAUGACAAACAACUUUAAUCCCAGUACUUGGGAGGCAGAGGCAGGUGAAUUUCUGUGAGUUCGAGGCCAGCCUAGCCUAUAGCACUAGAUCCAGAACAGCCAGUGUCACUUAAGUUUUUUGUUUUUUUAGAGAUUUAUUUAUUUAUUAUAUGUGUGUGCACUGUAGCUGUCUUCAGAUACUCCAGAAGAGGGCAUCAGAUUUUUGUUACAGAUGGUUGUGAUCCACCGUGUGGUUGCUGGGAUUUGAACUCAGGACCUUUGGAAGAACAGUCGGUGCUCUUAACCGCUGAGCUAUCUCACCAACCACCACUUAAUUCUUUAGGUUAAAGAAUUAUUUAUUCACUAAAAAGGAUAGAGACCCUGGUGAUGGUAGUGUACGCCUUUAAUCCCAGUACUCAGGAGCCAGAGGCAGGUGGAUCUCUAUGAAUUCAAGGUCAGACUGGUCUACAGAGCAAGUUCCAGGAUAGCCAAAGGUACACAGAGAAACCCUGUCUCAAAAUAGCCAAACC
This 2217-nucleotide long non-coding RNA is filed under the name Mus musculus (house mouse). Its description in RNAcentral is "long non-coding RNA chr8:106081392-106083609". The record is from RNAcentral. Lineage: Eukaryota; Metazoa; Chordata; Mammalia; Rodentia; Muridae.